AUGUUUACAGUUAUUUUUAAUUUAUCGCCUUGCCUACAUUGCCGGCCUCUUGAGUCAUCGCCCAUUUUUGCCGAUUCUAUUGCAAUUCACAAAGGAUAGAUUGUAUGCCUAACUGCAAAUGUAUACAUUGUAUUUUGCACGUAUGCAAGUGGCUACCUCAAAUAUUACUCAACCAGCCAAUCUCAACUCCAAACUGCCAGUCUCCAUUCAAACUUGCGCAUGAAACUCACUCAAAUUGACAAGAAAUUCCCUCAACAAUUUCCUUACGCAUGAUUCAGUGAAAUCAGCUGUUUGAAAUGCGCAAACUCCAAGCGACUACGCAAUGCAAUUGAAAUUGAUUUUGACUUACGGCGGGGAGAAGACGAGGAAACGCAGAACACAGAACGUUCAAUGUUCAAGAACGUUGAACGUUGAGCGCAACACCCACCACCACCACCAGGGAAAUUUGGAAAAACACCAAAAUUGUUGUAUGACCCAUUUUCAGUUGCAGAGUUCAAAGACCUUUCGCUUCUGAGCUGCGAGCUGCGAGCUGCCAGCGUUGAGCGUUGUGUGGGUGGGUUUCACAUGAUGUCACGUUGUGUUGGUGUGGAGCCCGAGGGUUGUUAUAAUGCAUAAUCAUCGCAGUCGCUUUUAUGCGUGUCCCAAGUUGUGGAUUGGUAAGCUAUCAUAUUAUGGUGGUUGCUAUUUGACAGAGCCUUCCCCAUUCCCCCCGCCACCAACGACCCAAACUCCUAUGUCCAACGCCCCCCUCCCAUCCCCCUCGCAACCCACAAUGUUUCAUGUCCAAUUUGAUUUGUGUUUACUUGGCUUAGUUUGACCCACAUCUGGGAUUACUCAGUAUGA
Molecule: long non-coding RNA, 843 nt
Organism: Drosophila grimshawi
Lineage: Eukaryota; Metazoa; Arthropoda; Insecta; Diptera; Drosophilidae
Exons: 3
Source: RefSeq, a predicted model, not a curated record